This is a long non-coding RNA of Conger conger (European conger), 1800 nucleotides long. RefSeq lists it as uncharacterized. The transcript has 2 exons. NCBI's taxonomy places the organism in Eukaryota, Metazoa, Chordata, Actinopteri, Anguilliformes, Congridae. The record is from RefSeq and is a predicted model, not a curated record.
UUAAUGCUGUUGUUACUGUUACACACAGCAUGUAAUUUCACUGUUUUAUAUUUGUGCUCCAGGUGCUACUUUUGAUGUGUCCAAAGGAGCAGAAAUCAGCAAUGCCAUUGCUCCUCCUGAAGUGACUUACAGCACUGUCACCCACCUUCCCUCUGCAACCUCUGCCUUUCAGCCCCAGCAGGACAACGUGGUUUACAGCAGUCUGAAGACAGAAUGAGAGAAUUCAUACAAAAAACACAGGAGUCCUUUUAGUCCUUGAGAUGUCUUGACCAACAGAGCAUUGCAAUGCUUAUAUAGAUAUAUACAAUUAAAAUGGAAAUGUUUCAUUUUACAUUCUUUUCAUUUAACAUUUUCAAACUCUACCACCUUUUCAAACUCUACAUUAGUCCUCCCUCCUGAUUUCUCCCGCCCCCCUUUCUGAUAUCCCUAUCCCUCUUGUCUAACAAAAAAAAAAAUUGCACUUAUGAUGGCUAUAUGUUUAGAACAGCACCUUUGUAUUUUCCUAGUUAUGGAUGUGAUGCUUUGACUUGUGGAAGAACCUAUGCACUUGUAAGUCGCUUUGGAUUAAAAGCGUAUGCCAAAUGACUAAAAUGUAAAUGUAAAUGUCUUUGACAAUAUCUUGGAAAUAUCAUUGAAUUAUUAAUCUUUUGUUAAUAAGUCCUUUCUUUCUUUCGAUGUUGUUUUGGGAUUGUACCCCCAGAGCAGAGAUCUUACACAGCACAUAUGAAACCAGAUUUACUCACUCAGUUACUUUUCUAUUAUCUAUGUGUACUGUUACUGUUAUGUAAAAUAUUUAAUUAAUUGCACAAUUUAUACUUAUUUUCACUGAUCCUGAAUCCCUUAUGCUAUUUGUUUUACUAGGAACACAUUAAUCAAGAUUUCACAGAUUCCACAUCAAUGUGAAUGUGCCAGAGUAAGCUAAUGAGUUCAUUUUCAUCUGUAGUCCCUAAGCGGCAUGUCUAUGGACUGUGGGAGGAAACCAGAGUACCUGGAGGAAACCCACACAGACACGGGGAGAACAUGCAAACUCCACACAGAAAGGCCUGGGCGGGGCUCAAACCCAGGACCUUCUUGUUGUGAAGCAACAGUGCUACCCACUGUGCCCAAUGUCAUGUCAUGUAUUACAAAUUUAGGGAAUAACUCUUAACAGAACUGCACUUAUAUAUUAUGUAGUGCUUAAUACAGUGCUGUUAUGUUAUGUUAUGUUAUGUUAUGUUAUGUUAUGUUAUGUUAUGUUAUGUUAAUAUGAUAUACUAUGAGACUCACAUCCAUUUGUAUAGAUGUUGGACCCAGAGAACUUAAAAAAGCAAAAUAUUGUUUAUUCACCUUGAAACCAUGAAUUAUGUCAGUUUCUGUUUAUGCCCACUAGAGGCCGCCAGUUCCCAAGCUCUAAUGUAUUUCAUUUGUGUCUUUUUGGUCAUCCCUCAUCCUCAUUAUAUUAUUAGUUUCCCUUUGUAUUCAGUUUACAGGUUCCGAUCUUGUAUUUGCUGGUUUUAGUGAUGGGUUGGGUUGUUGCUAUCUGCUAGCAAUGCUGUUUCUAGGCUCUAGUUUUGCUCUCUUGUGUUCUCCUAUUUGUUUUGUUGUGUUCCGAGUGAAAGUAUUUUUGUUCACACUUAUCUCUGUUUCCUAACUCCCUCUGUCUCUGCAUUUGGAUUCAGCCCAAUGAUAAAUGUAUGCUUUUGAGAGACACAUAAGAGUUGUAUAAUUGGCUGUUCUUAGAUUAUAAUUAUUUUAUUACAAUUUAGUAUUGAGUUCAAGUAGGUUGUGCUGUAUUUGUGCAAAAUGAAUUCUGAAAAAAUA